AUCUAGUCUUGGUGCUCUGUGGACACCUGGUUCAUCCCCCUGUCCUUUGUCGUAGGUCCUGCCCUGUUUUAAGUCUCCUGUGCUCUGCUGGGGGACACUAG
Molecule: long non-coding RNA, 101 nt
Filed under: Prolemur simus (greater bamboo lemur)
Lineage: Eukaryota; Metazoa; Chordata; Mammalia; Primates; Lemuridae
Description: Pvt1 onco conserved region 6 (ENSPSMG00000005362.1)
Rfam family: Pvt1 oncogene conserved region 6
Source: RNAcentral